UACGGAGGGUGCGAGCGUUGUCCGGAAUCACUGGGCGUAAAGGGCGCGUAGGCGGCCUGCUAAGUCGAACGUGAAAUCCCUGGGCUCAACCCAGGAACUGCGUCCGAUACUGGUUGGCUUGAAUCCGGGAGAGGGACGUGGAAUUCCAGGUGUAGCGGUGAAAUGCGUAGAUAUCUGGAGGAACACCGGUGGCGAAGGCGACGUCCUGGACCGGUAUUGACGCUGAGGCGCGAAAGCCAGGGGAGCAAACGGG
This 253-nucleotide ribosomal RNA is filed under the name uncultured bacterium. RNAcentral describes it as "partial 16S ribosomal RNA". It matches the Rfam family "Bacterial small subunit ribosomal RNA", at positions 524 to 776 of the family's 1533-position model. The record is from RNAcentral.